RNAcentral lists this ribosomal RNA (1223 nucleotides) under metagenome. Its description in RNAcentral is "bacterial LSU rRNA". It matches the Rfam family "Bacterial large subunit ribosomal RNA", at positions 1719 to 2925 of the family's 2925-position model. The record is from RNAcentral.
AAAUUGACACCGUAACUUCGGGAGAAGGUGUGCCGCUGGCGGUUAGUGACUUCGCGUCACGAAGCUGUCGGUGGUCGCAGUGAAAUGGCGGUUGUGACUGUUUACUAAAAACACAGGACUCUGCGAAGUCGUAAGACGACGUAUAGGGUCUGAUGCCUGCCCGGUGCUGGAAGGUUAAGGGGAUAUGUCAGCGCAAGCGAAGCAUUGAACCGAAGCCCCAGUAAACGGCGGCCGUAACAAUAACGGUCCUAAGGUAGCGAGAUUCCUUGUCGGGUAAGUUCCGACCUGCACGAAUGGCAUAACAACAUCCGCACUGUCUCGACCAGGGACUCAGCGAAAUUACAUUGGGGGUGUAGAUGCCCUCUACCCGCGGAAAGACGGAAAGACCCCAUGAACCUUUACUGCAACUUGGCAGUGAUUUUCGGGUUGUUCUGCGUAGGAUAGGUGGGAGGCUUUGAAGCCGGGCUUCCGGGUUCGGCAGAGCCAACGUUGAAAUACCACCCUGAAUAAUCUGGAAAUCUAACCUGCGCCCAUGAUCUGGGCGAGGGACACUGCCUGGUGGGCAGUUUGACUGGGGCGGUCGCCUCCUAAAUUGUAACGGAGGCGUGCGACGGUUCCCUCAGGCUGAUUGGAAACCAGCCGUAGAGUGCAAACGCAUAAGGGAGCUUUACUGCGAGACUGACAAGUCGAACAGUUGCGAAAGCAGGUGUUAGUGAUCCGGUGGUACCACAUGGAAGGGCCAUCGCUCAUCGGAUAAAAGGUACUCUGGGGAUAACAGGCUGAUCGCGCCUGAGAGUUCACAUCGGCGGCGCGGUUUGGCACCUCGAUGUCGGCUCAUCGCAUCCUGGGGCUGGAGCAGGUCCCAAGGGUUUGGCUGUUCGCCAAUUAAAGCGGUACGCGAGCUGGGUUUAAAACGUCGUGAGACAGUUUGGUCCCUAUCUUCCGUGGGCGCAGGACACUUGAGAGGAGCUAUCCAUAGUACGAGAGGACCUGGAUGGACGAACCUCUGGUGCUCCGGUUGUCACGCCAGUGGCAUAGCCGGGUAGCCAUGUUCGGAACAGAUAACCGCUGAAGGCAUAUAAGCGGGAAGCUGGCCUCAAGGCUAGGUGUCCCUGACGCAAGUCACUAAAGGCCCCUCGAAGACUACGAGGUUGAUAGGCUCGGUGUGGAAGCGCUGCGAGGCGUGGAGCUAACGAGUACUAAUAGGCCGUGCGACUUGACCU